Long non-coding RNA from Hirundo rustica (Barn swallow), 8528 nucleotides. RefSeq lists it as uncharacterized. The record is from RefSeq and is a predicted model, not a curated record. Lineage: Eukaryota; Metazoa; Chordata; Aves; Passeriformes; Hirundinidae. The transcript is spliced from 4 exons.
CUGAGUACCUGCUAAUGGCAGAGAGCAAAUUGUCUGCAGGCGGCCGGAGUCAGGGCGGGAGCGCCUGUAGCCCCCAGCAAGCGAGAGCCUCCCGUCUCCCUUUCCCCGUUCCCCGUCUCGUCCGCUCCGCCGCUGGGCGCAGCUGACCUACUUUUUCUGCAUUUCUCUCUACUCUGCCCCGACCCCUCCCACGCGUGGGGCUCGAAGGCUUUUAACCUCUCGGAGCACACCAGCCGCGGCUCCCCGAUCCCGGCCGGCCCCGGGGCUUGGAGCCGAGGGCGCGGGGAUGCGGCGGACGCGGGGCGCGGCUCGUCGGGCUGGGCCUCAAACCAACCUAUGCCCGCAGUACCACCCGCCGGGCGGCGUGCGGACACGGACCGGCCGCAUCGGGCUGAACCAUCUCUUCUGUCUGCUCUCCUAUUGCCCCAAGCUUCCCCAGGACUAGUGUCGACUCGGCUCAUCGUGAUUCUCCUCCAUUUCUACUAUUAACGAACCUAUAACAAAUCAAAUAAUAACUGUAAUGAAAUACGAAGUACCUAGAAUUCACAGAAAUGGCGCUGUUCGCAUUUCUGUACAAUGCAGCUCCACCUUCCUGCAAGGGGCAGGUCAUCAAAGCGUUUUUGAGAGGCUCUGCCCUUUGUGCCUCAUGCUCUGGCACCUGGUGUGGGAAAGGCUGUGUUACGGUGACAAAACACGUCUGACACGGCAUGCGCUGAAUACUGGCUUGGUGUGAAAAGCACAUGUGCUGUACCAGUCAGCUGGUGCUCUGAUUUCUGCUGCCUCCUCUGCCUCCCAGGAUAGUUUUGCUAUUCUGCUCCAGGCUUCCUGCCCCGGUUUCCUCUAUUUCUUCCUGCCAGCUCUCAUCCUGCUUCUACAUACCGAAUCCUCCAGCCAGAAUCCUUCUUAUGUUGCUUUCAGUAGGGUUGUGGGCAGAGACUGGGCAGAUGGGGAUCCUGGCUGAGACCACAGCCCAUAGGAUCUGAGUAGCCACUUCCCAGACUGAGGCAGAGAAGAACAUCAAAGGAGGAAGAGGAUGUAACAUGGAAGGAAGGAGAAGACUGCAGGGAGAGACUUUCACCCUGCAAACAAGUCAGUUCAGAGGGACGUGGGAUGUGUGGUUCAUCCUUUUGAGAACAUCUGGGACAGACCUGCCAAAUUUGUCAGAAUAGAUGUGAUUGAUGAACCUUAGAUUGGGAUGUAAAGGGGUUUUUAAGGUAUGUGUGAUUAAGCUUCACCAGGCUGAAAAUGGAUGAAAUAUCCAUUUGCUAUCCUUUUGAAAGGCAAAAAUAUAAAUCUAUGCAUUAUUCACAGGCAGGAGGCUUAAAAUGAUGAGUGAAUGUUUUAGUUUCACCUGGGAUACAGUCAAUUUUCUUUUUAGUAGUUGUGGUUUGAAUUCAUUGUGAUAGUAAUGUUGAUAACACACAUAUGUUUUGGUUGUUGCUAAGUAGUGCUAACCCUAAGUCAAGGACAGCUGGCCUGAACUGGUAGAAUGUGAUGCCCAGUGUAAACUGGGGAAGUUGGCUGGGAGCUGCUGAUCUCUGCUGGGAGAUGGGUUGGGCAACUGUCAGCAGAUGGUGAGCAACAGAGUUGUACAUCAUUUGUCUUUCUUGGGUUUUAGCUCUCUCUCUGUUUCUGUUGACUCCACUUUAAAUAUAUAGUUAGUGCUGUAUUUAUGUUAUUAUUAUAUUUUAUUUCAGUUAUCAAACUGUUAUUAUGUAAACCCAACUCCACUGGUGUAAACCCCCUUUUCCACUGGUAUUAGGGUGCAGUAAGUAAAUGGCAGUGUGGUACUUAGUUGCCUACUGGGGCUAAACCAUGGCAGGGAAAAAGAAUGAUUUUUGCUUUUAAAAUGUCAUUUUUAACCUUGGUAUGUUUGAGACUUUGGUUGUGACAUCUCUUGAGAAAUAAAGACUGCAUAUGAAAUGGGGCCUCUUGGGAAAACAAAAGGACUCAGGCCUAGGACUGAAGCUGAAGAAGGGUGUCGAAGAUCAAAGCAGAUCAACAGCAUCACCUGCAAGAUGAGCCUGCUCAGCUUCCUCUCCAGUGAAUGUGAACACAGAGCAUUCACCAAAAUAUUUAACAGAGAGAGAGUGCUUUCCCUGGAAGUCUUUGAGAAACCUGAACAACCAUUAUGGGGAGGCUGAGGUACAGAGGAAAAAUGAGGUGUCUCCCCAUAAGGCGAACAGAGUCUCAGAGAUAAGUAAUACUGGAAUGCUGACUUCUGCUCUGUACUAGUUCUGUUGGGUAAAAAGCUGGGGAGGGGGAAAGGUAGUUCUUAAGGCCAUAUUGCUCUGGAGAAGACAGGAAAUUAAAUUGUUUGAAAUAUGCCUCUUUUUCCUGUUAAAACCUCCAGUUUUAGCAAUAGGGUUUUAAUGGUCACCACAAGGAAGGUUUCAGCUAACAUUGGUAGCACAGACAGCCACCUUCUGUUUCUCCACUGACCACAAAAUGCAAACCCUAAGAGGUUUGUACGCAACAAUGAGGCGAGAGCUGCCCUGCCUUGGUGCUGGGUGGUAUUUACAGCUACAGCUACAGAAAUAUGAAUAAGGUGUGCUCCAGAGGGGCGUCUAUCGCCAUCAGUUAUGAAUACCACAGCAGGAAGGAGAACUAAAACCAGCAUGCACCUUCUUUUGUUUGUGAUGGGGGGCAAGCAUAGCCACAAGCUCAAGAUUUGUGAGAGAGAGAGUUAUUUGUAAUUAAUAGCAAGUAGAAGUUCUAAAUUGAGGCAACUGUAUGUUGACCACAGCACAGCUGUGGGGCUAUCAGCACUGCCAGCAUGGCCAGGGCUUGACUUUGUCUGGCAUGGGAAACAGGUGGCUAAAAAAGAGAUGACACUGCUGCAUGUGUGUAUGUGAAGUGGCUGGCCAAUGGGCAGGAUUUCCAGCACUUUUUUCCCUACUAGAAGAGAAGUGGAAAAAAAAAAAACCCAGAUCAAAUAGACUUACGGACACAAAGAGGUAUUGCAAUGCACCAAUAGCCCCAUCCUCAAACCCCCUGAAAAAUCAGUAGCUCAAUGUUCCGUCUGGGCCUACCCUCCUCAGCCCAGUAAACUCCAAGCCUGUGCACAGCUGGUCUGGUCUAAGUCAGUGUCACUGACUAGGGGCAAAAAACCACAGAUCUUUGGAAGGUACUUUCACAUAAAUUGCUUCCAAUGAAUUAUUUACAGUUUACAUUAGCAGCCACACUCUACAUAAUAUCAUUAAAUUUUACAAGGCUGUGAAUGAACAGCUGCAUCUUACAUGGUAUUUUUUCAUCUUUGCAAGUAAGACACUGGUUCUUUCAAGGUUGCUCCCUAGGAAAGUAACAUUAUUUUUUCAUCCAGCCAUAGGGAAUGCUGCCAUUACUUCCUUGAAAAAUUGUACAUCUCUUUACUGUGAAGAAUUAACAGUAUUUCUUAAAAGCUGGUUUACUUUGGCCUUACAGGUAAGGUGUGUGUGGGGAAGCAUGCUCUUGAAAUAAUUCAGCAGAUGAGUUUAUUUCAUAGUUUUGGUUACAGGUUACAGUGAUAUUGACUCAUGGCAUGGGAAUUUUCUGUAGAAUACCUGUGUUGGAGAAAACUCCCUUGCCUUCAUUGUCGUGUUAACGAGGGAACUUCCGAAACUGUUAGAGCAAAGGCUCCAGGUGCUGCCCCUGCUUAGAGACUGGAGAUGCUUUAAGCUUGGGCAAACAGCCUAGUGGGGUUAUGGUGUUGAACACAGUUUUGCUUACAUGCAAGCUGACACAGCACAAGGAGAGUUGGUACUGCAAUCUGAUUGGAUUUACAACUCUUUCUUGUAGAGGGGCUAAGGUAGGCAGGGUCUUCUGCAAUGGGCUAGAAAGGAGUCUGUUCCAUAGACACACUCAGCUGAAUGUGAAGAUCAGUGAGAAAUGAAGUAAAAUAAUUAUUUUCCUGUACUAAUAAGUGUGGAAAAGUUUAUUAGAAUCCAUACAUCUUUGUGCCAAUGACUGGAUAAAGCUGGCAUGGCAGAUGUACCUGGAGCAAUUGUGUAGCAGCCACACUUGGGCAUUUGCCGGACUCUUAACCUCUCGCAGAUUUAAAACUAAGAGACGGGGUCUGGCAGUUCCGUCAUGUCUUGAAACACCUUUACAGCAGAAGUGAUAUGCCUGUACUUCCCAUUAUGAGCCCUCCUUCUUGAAGAGAACCGAUGCAAGGAUUUCCAAACCAGAGGAGAAAUCAAAAAAGCCAACGUGUCACUUGGGAGAGAAGAUGAUGGACAGGGAAAGAUGCCCUAGGGCACUGCCAAGCUGCCUUUUCCCAAACUGUCUCUCAGGUUUGUAAUUUGUUUCUGACUUAAGGGACAACAUCCAAAUGUGAUUUGUUGAUUGUCAAAUGACAAGAGAUUAUGUGGCUGCUCUUCUGAUUUCUCUUCCUAGUAAGCAAGGAUUCCCAUAGGACACCCACUGCUGCUAAGCAGAAGUAAGCAAUACUCCCUGGGACAAAAUGUAGCUUUCCUCUAGCUCCCCGUAACACUUAGCUCAUGGCAGUUAAUGCCAUUAGUCAGAGACCUCCAGUUAAAGUGUCGUAAAAUGUUAAUUAUAAUAAGGCUCUCAAUGUCUCUCCCCAGGUGUACCUACUCAAGAUGGUGCUGAAGUCCUCUUGGGCAGGGAUUGUGGUGACAGAAUGAGAAAGAUAUUUUGUUUGUGGUGUGGAGAAGAUUAAUUAGAAAAUUUCUCACAUUAUUGGUGAACCUAAUUAAUUUGUUUAGUUUAGAAGAGAGUCCUGAUUACACCUGGAAAAGAAAAGCCUGAGAGCAAAUUAUGGGUAAUUUGAUACAAGACCACUUAAGUUUAUGGUUACAUGGCAACUGCGUGUUUUGCUGCCUUUUGAGUAAGGGUAGUGACUAAGACCUGGGCAGGGGGAGCAGCACAGAAUAUCUGUGGGUCAGAAACUGCCUUGUUCUGGUUUCAUGGGAGGAAGUCCUGAUGAUUUCAGGGAAUAAAAGAGAAUGUUGCCAUGGAAGGAGACUCACUGGUUGUUCCCUAUUACUAAGCAAAUUAUGUCUGGAAAUCACCUUUCCAAUGAUUCAAACCUUAGCUGCUUGCCCUAUGUCUAAACUCUAUUACACAGUAUUAAUAAGCGUCUUUCUUAAUUCUGUCUGUGGGUUAAUAAAUAAGUAAAUUUUGUCAGAUGUUAUGCAGACAAACUUAUAUGAGCUAUAAGUUUCUAUGACUUUCUACACCUGUCUACACCUGCUCUUUGUGAAGAUGUAUUUCAAAAGCCGUUUUCCCACCAGUGAUAUAUGGGAUAUAUGCUACAAACUGAUGCCUUGAUUGAAUCAGCUGUUGGAGGUGGGAGUUACAGGAAAUCCUUAGGGUUGUGUGAACAGGCACAUUGGUGAAACUAUCAAAGAAAAGAGUAAUAUAAAGAAAGUCUAUAUCUUUAAUACUGCUCAGAGCUGUGCUCCUUGUCCCAAAGAUUAGUCUGCCUUUGGAACUACUGUCUGAAUUUGAAGAGAAGCCUUAUCAAGCUAAACCAAGCUAAACUCAUGCCUUUUAUUUUGCAGCAUCUCCUUUCUUAUAACACAUUUACUAAACCUUUCACUUUUAUGUAAUAAAUAUGUUGUUAGAUCUGGUUAUCUAUUGCCUGUUGCUAUGAUUGCCUGGGAGGCUAGCACAGCUUCCCGUGGGUUCACCAAUGCUGGAAAGUUCCCCUGAGGUUUUUGGGGCAUUCCUUCCCUUAGUUGCCAAGCGCAGUCUGGCUUUUGGCAGCACAGGUUGGGGGAGCAGGGCCUUCUGGGCAUGUGCUGUUCCAUGCCACUGCAACGUGCAGCAGGGCAUGGGCACAAGGCCUGGGAUUCUCCAUGGAGCUGCGAGGUCAUAUGUGAGCAUCUGGUUGUUUUGAGUGCUCAAACAGGGGUUCUGUAGUGAAACAAAGGAAAAGUGAAAUCUCUUCUAGGACUUCUGCUAAUAUAACAGGGAAGUUUUUUGUAUAAAAUAUUUUCUUUUGGCUGUAUUGGCAAUCAUUGGCUUUUUGCCAAAUUGAGCUUGCAUCUAGAGGUUUUGCCAUUGUAAAUGUGUCAGACUGGGAAUGAAAAAGAAAACAAAGCUGUAUUGACUGUACCUUUCAGCACUUUCUAUGUGUGAUGAGGAAUCACACACUGAGAUGGGAGGUAAGAGACUCAAGGCUACAUUCUGCUCCAGCUGUACAGAGACAAUAUGCUGAAGAACAAUAAAGUGGAGCAGUUUGCUUAGAAAAAAACUCUCAGGGCUGUGUGUGUGUGCCCCUAGACUUUUGGAAAGUUAUAGCAUUAAGUCAUGGAGAAGAGAAAGGAAGACACAUAUGCUUCUGAAAAAUGGCCUCUUUAGUGUCUGGUCCAGGAAAAAUAUUGUGCAAUGCAGGUAAUGAAUACUUUGCAUUUACAAUAUCAAAUGAUGAAAACUCAGCUCUUACAAAACUCAGACUGAGACUGGGUUGUGUAAGAGAACAGACUUGACAUUACACAUGAUCUGAUCAUGAGUAGUAAGUUGUACACGUAGUUCCAUAUUUCUAUAGAUCAGGGAUUGGUAGCAGAUUGUAUCCUGCCCCAUCAAACUUUCAUGCAGUUAGUAGAGUGUUGUAGUGCAUUAAUUUGGUCUAUAUUGUGUUUCAUUUUUAUAUUGGGGUUUGUAAUGUUUUUCUACUGUAUCCCCUUGGAAACUGUAUCACGUGGUUUGUCCCUGCUCAGCCGCACCCAGCCCCCACACUGGAAUGUAACCCAACUCUGUUCCCCUCCCACCUUAUCCCUGAUUGGGCAGUGGCUUGUCCCUGCCUCUGGGCCUGUCCCCCCUGGGAAAAAGCCCUGGGACCACAGAGGGCCCGGUCUCCCUGGCGCCAGGGGGGACGGGAAAGGAGCUAAGUAAGAGCUCCGGCCAGCGGGGGUCCGACCCCAGAAUAAAGCCGUGAUAUCCCCCCUGCGAGAGAGCAGGCUCUGUGCCUUUUGCCAUCGACGGUCAUCUGGGUCUCUUAAAGAACCACCACAGUAGAGUUAGGUGGUGUGAGACAAGUUCUGUCAGGAAGAUUUGGCAAGCAGAGUCUCCAACUGUUCUGAGCCUUGCAGCAUCAGCUUCAGUGUUUGUGACAUGCAGAAUUUUGAUCUAAAAAAUUUGAAGUGUUCAGGUUUGCACAGAGUCUGAAAGUCUUUUGCAGUCUUACCUUUAUGCCAUAGUUUAAAUCUUUGAGUAGGAUCGCAAUAAAAGACAAAUGUCAAGUCUUUGUAUAAGCAUUAUUAGUCUUCAUUGGAUAUGUAAUGUAUAUAUUAAAGUCUGAAGAUAUUCUACCUACUUCAAAGUGUCAAACCCAUGUCAAAACUUACAUCAUGCUAUUUAGUUGCUAUAACUGUUCCAUACCAACUGUAGUAAUUCCAUUUCAAAUAUAUUCUUUUCAAUGCAGAACUAACAUGACUGUAAGGCAUAGGGGUUUUCUUGCUAAUUCAGUUGCUAAAGAUCUAGCUGUUCUGUACCUACUAGCACUCCUGAAAUGUUUAUAAUCAUACCAAGCUGAACAGCCAUAACGUGCUCAGGAACACAACCAAAAAGAGCCGACACUGGCCUGUAUAUUUAGUGGAGAUAUUUCUGUAAACAGAGAAGGAAAUCAAGUGUCCAGGUGUUUGGGAAGAAGUUUCUUAAGUUAUGGAACUCACUGCUGCCCAGUGGAAGUCGGUGAAGCUAUGACAGCUCAUUCCCUGCAGCAUAUCUGCUUUUUGGCUUCUACAAAUGUGUCUUUGUAUGGAUAAUGUGGCACAAGCUGAAUGUGGCCAUCCACAGUGACUAAUGUCCCCACAAGGGAAUAGAACACCGCUGUCAAAACCAUAGCUUUUGCAAAGUUACUGCGUGCUGCGUAUGAACAGGUUUCUUUUUGGCAAUGCAAUAUAAUGAUGCCACAGCCUGCAUUUAGACUCUAUUUCUUAUAAUCUGUUUCUUCUUAAAAGUUCUCAAAUUACAUCAGUGGUAAAACUCCUAUUGCCUGAGAGGAGCUAUCUGGCCAAACCAGAAUACAUUUAAAAACUUCAGCAUAUAUCCUUACAGAUAAGAAUAUGAAAUCACCUUUCAAGGUGUUGGCAUUGAAGACCCCAGCAUGCCUCUAGGCAUGAUUCAGGCCUCUGACAGGAACACUAUUAAAUAAGUUCAGGAAAGAUUUCAGUACUCAUCUUCACAUCUUUAUAUGGAUUUACUGUUACUAAUGGAUUUUCUGAAGCAGAUAAUUUUGCCAGCAUACAGAAAUGAAUUUGGCCCUAAAAGAAAAAGGGUAAACCCCAAAGUUAUAAACCAUAACUACUUGCAAUGAACUUGUAAAGGAAAACCGUUUGCUGUCCUUUGUUCAAAACACAGGUAAUUUCUCUAAAUUGAUUUCUACUUAUUUUCUUGUGCCUGUUGGUUAUGAUAUGAAGGAACAGAAUCAAAGUAAGGGUUAAAAGACUUAGGCAAGGCAUUAAAGCAGAGAUAGUGAAAUGCUGGGACAGAUUGCCUGGAGAAGGCAUUGAAUCCCCACUACUGGUGUUUGAUGUUUGUCUUAUCUCUUGUAAAAUAAAAAAAAGCAUUUGUAGAGAAUG